GAUGAACGCUGGCGGCGUGCCUAAUACAUGCGAGUCGAGCGAACAGACGAGGAGCUUGCUCCUCUGACGUUAGCGGCGGACGGGUGAGUAACACGUGGAUAACCUACCUAUAAGACUGGGAUAACUUCGGGAAACCGGAGCUAAUACCGGAUAAUAUAUUGAACCGCAUGGUUCAAUAGUGAAAGACGGUUUUGCUGUCACUUAUAGAUGGAUCCGCGCCGCAUUAGCUAGUUGGUAAGGUAACGGCUUACCACGGCGACGAUGCGUAGCCGACCUGAGAGGGUGAUCGGCCACACUGGAACUGAGACACGGUCCAGACUCCUACGGGAGGCAGCAGUAGGGAAUCUGCCGCAAUGGGCGAAAGCCUGACGGAGCAACGCCGCGUGAGUGAUGAAGGUCUUCGGAUCGUAAAACUCUGUUAUUAGGGAAGAACAAAUGUGUAAGUAACUAUGCACGUCUUGACGGUACCUAAUCAGAAAGCCACGGCUAACUACGUG
RNAcentral lists this ribosomal RNA (497 nucleotides) under uncultured bacterium. RNAcentral describes it as "partial 16S ribosomal RNA". It matches the Rfam family "Bacterial small subunit ribosomal RNA", at positions 28 to 507 of the family's 1533-position model. The record is from RNAcentral.